UCGUCAGGUGGGAUAAUCCUUACCUGUUCCUCCUGCGGGAGGGCAGAUCGGAACAUGAUGAUUGGAGUUCGGAUGAUGCGUGAUUAGCGUCUCUGUGUGGCUGGGACUUGCAACACCCCGGUCGCUCCUGUCUGAU
Small nucleolar RNA from Leptonychotes weddellii (Weddell seal), 136 nucleotides. RefSeq annotates it as U8 small nucleolar RNA. Lineage: Eukaryota; Metazoa; Chordata; Mammalia; Carnivora; Phocidae. The record is from RefSeq and is a predicted model, not a curated record.